UUAAGCCUUGACGAGUAAGAGGGUCGCGGCGGUGAGCGCAGAAGGGUCAGGGCGAGAGCCUGCCUGGAGCCGCCGUUGGUGCAGAUCUUGGUGGUAGUAGCAAAUACUCUAGCGAGGGCCUGGAGGACUGACGUGGAGAAGGGUUUCUUGUGAACAGCCGUUGCACAAGAGUCAGUCGACCCUAAGCCCUAGGAGAAAUCCGAUGCCGAUGGGUGGCUUGACAUGGCAAUAGUGUUCGACUAUGUCGUUCACUGUCAAAACACAGACCACAGACUGUGAAGUUUGUACCUCACACCUUUGGUGUGUUGCACGACUGAACAGCUCCUGUCGGGCAAAAGGGAAUCCGGUUCCUAUUCCGGAACCCGGCUGCGUAACCGCUACUCAGCGGGCACUUGCUUGCGAGCGCUCGACGGGGUAACCCAAACUGGCCUGGAGACGCCGGCGGGGGGUCUGGAAAGAGUUUUCUUUUCUUUAUAAGUGUUCGAGUACCCUGGAAUCCUAUAGCAGGGAGAUAGGGUUUGGAACACGAAGAGCACCGCAGUUGCAGCGGUGUCCGGACCUUCCCCCCGGACCUUGAAAAUCCAGGUGAGGGCCACGCGGAAGUCGCGCCGG
This 612-nucleotide ribosomal RNA is filed under the name Saccharosydne procerus. RNAcentral's name for it is "eukaryotic LSU rRNA". It matches the Rfam family "Eukaryotic large subunit ribosomal RNA", at positions 1367 to 1840 of the family's 3401-position model. Lineage: Eukaryota; Metazoa; Arthropoda; Insecta; Hemiptera; Delphacidae. The record is from RNAcentral.